Sapajus apella (tufted capuchin) is the source of this 2455-nucleotide RNA transcript. It is a transcript of the gene named WW domain-binding protein 11 pseudogene, with no coding region annotated. Lineage: Eukaryota; Metazoa; Chordata; Mammalia; Primates; Cebidae. The record is from RefSeq and is a predicted model, not a curated record. The transcript has a single exon.
AGCCUGGCCAAAAUAGCAAGAUCCUAUCUCUAUUAAAAAUAUAAAAAUUGGAGAGACAGUAGGACAGAGGAAUGGGAAAUGACAUAAGGAUUGCAGACACAAGGUUUCAAGAUGGCAGUGGCUGCGGGGUUGACAGGGAGGCCGAGUUGAAAGCCCUUACCAAGUGAAAGAGGUCGGGAAUCGCCUCUUCUCUACUUCUCGCAGUCCUGAGAGCACAGCAGAAGUGUUUUGCUUUUCUUUUUUUUAAACAAACAAGUAAACUAUACAAAUUGUCAACAUGGGAAGGAGAUCUACAUCAUCCACCAAGAAUGGAAAAUUUAUGAACCUCACAGACCAAGCCUGAAAGGAAGACUGGAAGAGAGAAUUGAAGAACAAAAGCAGCUCAUGAUGGUUCGAACUGCAGUUUUAAAGAUGAGGGAUCCCAAACAGAUUAUCUGAGACAUGGAGAAAUGGGAUGAAAUGGAGUUUACCCCAGUGCAACAGCCACAAUUAAAUGAGAAACUACUGAAAGACAAGUGUAAAAAGCUGCGUGAAACUUUUGAAAGUAUUCUACAACUCUAUGUAAAAGAGAAUCCAGAUAUUUACAAAAAAUUGAGAAAGCUAGAGUAGAUUAUGAACAGAAGAGGGCUCAACCAAUAUUUUGAUGCUGUCAGGAAUGCUCAGCAUGUGGAAGUGGAGACUAGUAUUCCCUUGCCAGAUGUGCCGCAUGCUCCUUCCAACAUUUUGAUCCAGGACAUUCCAUUUCCUGGUGCCCAGCCACCCUCCAUCUUUAAAGAAAAUCUCAGCCUAUGGGCCUCCAACUUGGGCAGUUUCUACCCUUCUUCUUCUUGGGACAUGGUGCUCCACGUUUGCCCCCGGCAGGAAACCUCUUGGCCCUCCCCAUGGUCUACCUCCUCCUCAAGUUGUGCAGAUGUAUGGCUGUAAAGUGGGUUUUGCCCUAGAUCUUCCCCCUCGUAGGUGAGAUGAAGACACGUUGCAUAGUCUUGAACUUGCCCAGUGAGGUCAUGAUGAUGAUGUUUUUAGCACCAGAUGAUGGCUAUCCUGAGGACAUGGAUGAAGAUAAGCAUGAUGAUAGUACUGAUGACAGUAACACCGGCAGAUCAGAUGGAGAAAGUGUGCACUGUGAUGAUGGUGAGAGAGGCAAUAGUGAAGAAAAGAAGUUAGGUCUGAGUGUACGGUUUGCAGAUAUGCCUGGAAUAUCAAGGAAGAAAAAGACAAACAUGAAGGACCCGACUCUUCUUCAAGCCAUGAAGAACCUGCUUCAUAUGGCAGGUCAAGAAGUCUCUGAGGAGGGAUGGAAAGUAGAGGAACUUUCAGAGGACAGUGAUGAUGAUGAUUCUGAUGACUUUGAAGAAGAAAAGAGAUUAAAAAACAGCAUAAAGAGGAAUCUCAUUCUGAUGGCACAUCCACUGCUUCUUCACAGCAGCAGGCUCCCCCACAGUCUGUUUCUCUUUCUCAGAUAUAAGGAUGUCCCAUGCCAGGACCACUAUCUCUUGGAUCACCACCUGCUUCACUAUUAUGGCCUCCUGGGCCACCUAUGGGCCUUCCCCAUGGACCACCUCCAGGAGGUCUUCCAUUUCUGAGACCACCUAGAAUGCCAGGACUCCAAGAGCCUUUACCCUGACUUUUACCUCCAGGACCACCACCCUGGCCCUCCCCCAGGUCCUGCUGGUCCCCCUCCUUGGGGACCCCCACCAAGGUUACCUCUGCCUGCACCUUCAGGUAUUCCUCCACCUUGUUCUGGCAUGAGGCACACACCUUUGGUGCCUCCCCUUGGACCUGCCCCCCUGGGCUUUUCACACCAGCUCCCUUGUCAAACCCUAGGGUUUUAAGUACUCCUCCCAACUUGAUUCAGCAACCCAAGGCAGAUAAUGUGAGUGCAGUCACCAUUGAGAAGAAACCACAGCAAACGUCAGUGCCAAACCACAGGUAAUGAUCCCAAGGCAGAGAUUACUCAAUUUGUGCCCAAUGCACUGAGAGUAUGUUAGAUCUGGUCCUUCUGUUCCUGUCACAGUACAAACUAAGGAUGAUGUAGAUGAGGCUUUCAUGAAAUAGAUGGAAGGGCUACUGUGACAGCUUUUGAUGCCAGAACAGGCUUCUGUUCACAACAGUGGCCCAUAGAGAAAGAGGCUCUUAUUAAACUUAGAUGAAAGAGCUGCUUCUAUUGUCAGGGUAUUUUCUAAUUUCAGUUCAAGGAAUAUCCUAAAAUUUAGCCUUGUUCAGAAUUUGCUGCACAUAAAAUAGGGUAUUUCAUUCAGAAUAGAUCAGUUAUUGAAGCAGUGCUGCUAACAUGCAUUCCCUUUCACACCAACAUUUGCACACUGUUUCUUCCCCUUCUCCAGUUCUUUGGAAAUUUGUGAUGGGGGGAUCUUAGUUACUUAUUUGUUUUGACUCUCUUCUUAUGUGCUGUGGGCACUGGAGUAGAGAUUUCUGAAAAGCCAGUUCAUUUCAUCUU